RNAcentral lists this long non-coding RNA (223 nucleotides) under Lathyrus oleraceus (garden pea). Its description in RNAcentral is "Pisum sativum (pea) long non-coding RNA (PSAT_LNC007505)". Lineage: Eukaryota; Viridiplantae; Streptophyta; Magnoliopsida; Fabales; Fabaceae. The record is from RNAcentral.
UUUGUUUUCCCUCCAUCCAUGUUCAUAUGCUUGCCUCAUGUUUUUUUUUUAUUUUUUCUUUCACUUCAUAAAUUCAUAACUAAUUGAUAAAUGAUUCAAAAAAUAUGGGAAUUUUUGAAUUGUUUUCCUUAUUGUGUCUAGUUUUUUUUGAUUAUUUUUCCCUAAAUUGUGCUUGGCUGAAAAUUUAUUUUGCCUAGGGUUUGUGUACAUGCAUGCUUUCUUG